AAGUCGUAACAAGGUUUCCGUAGGUGACGCCCGCAAGUUCGCCUACCGAAACCCACAGCAGGCGACUCUAAACCACCUGCUCGCAGUCAGCCUCCGCGUUGGCGACGCCUUCAACCUGCACUGGGAGUCCUGUUCGACAGGGCCACCAGCGGCUCCCUAUCCCGGAGUUCACAGGUCAAACGUGGGCGGCCACUUCCACCGGUUGUGGUUCAGAUAUGAUCGGCCCUAGCCGGCGACGGCUAGCGAGUCUUCGCGGAACCUGCGGAAGGAUCAUUAUCGAGAGAGGGGCUUCACGCUCCCGGAGGCUUCGGCCUCCAACUCUUCACCCCAUGUCUAUCUACCUUUGUUGCUUUGGCGGGCCACGAGGCAUCAGUCCCCGCGCUGCCCCUGGACGAAACCGUCUGGGUGCGCGAGCGCCCGUCAGAGGCCCCACGAAACCCUUUUUAAUUAGUGAUGUCCGAGUAAAACCACAAUAGUAAAAACUUUCAACAACGGAUCUCUUGNUUCUGGCAUCGAUGAAGAACGCAGCGAAAUGCGAUAAGUAAUGUGAAUUGCAGAAUUCAGUGAAUCAUCGAAUCUUUGACGCACAUUGCGCCCCUCGUAUUCCGGGGGGCAUGCCUGUUCGAGCGUCAUUAAAUCCUCAAGCGCAGCUUGUCUUGGGUUUCGCCCCCGGGCGAUUCGAAAAUAGUGCGGUCCGGCGAGACUUUGAGCGUAGUAAUCAUCUCCGCUUUGAAAGCUCCCGUCGUGGCCCGCCAGAACAANCCAUUGACACAACAAUUGACCUCGGAUCAGGUAGGGAUACCCGCUGAACUUAAGCAUAUCAAUAAGCGGAGGAAAAGAAACCAACAGGGAUUGCCUCAGUAACGGCGAGUGAAGCGGCAACAGCUCAAAUUUGAAAUCUGGCUCUUUCAGAGUCCGAGUUGUAAUUUGUAGAGGGUGUUUCGGGCGCGACCCCGGUCUAAGUCCCUUGGAACAGGGCGUCAUAGAGGGUGAGAAUCCCGUAUGUGACCGGUGGCCAACCCCAUGUGAAACCCCUUCGACGAGUCGAGUUGUUUGGGAAUGCAGCUCAAAAUGGGUGGUAAAUUUCAUCUAAAGCUAAAUACCGGCCAGAGACCGAUAGCGCACAAGUAGAGUGAUCGAAAGAUGAAAAGCACUUUGGAAAGAGAGUCAAACAGUACGUGAAAUUGUUGAAAGGGAAGCGCUUGCAACCAGACCUGUCCGCGGGCGCUCAGCCUCCGUUUUCGGGGGUGCAUUCGUCCGCGAUCAGGCCAGUAUCGGUUCGGGCGGCGGGAUAAAGGCCUUGGGAAUGUAGCUCCCCUCGGGGAGUGUUAUAGCCCUCGGUGUAAUGCCGCCAGCCCGGACCGAGGACCGCGCUUCGGCUAGGAUACUGGCGUAAUGGUUGUAAGCGACC
Molecule: ribosomal RNA, 1411 nt
Filed under: uncultured fungus
Lineage: Eukaryota; Fungi
Description: eukaryotic LSU rRNA
Rfam family: Eukaryotic large subunit ribosomal RNA (bases 779-1411)
Source: RNAcentral